UGAUUAGGCGUUUCAACUCUGAUAAGCUUCUGCUUAAGACAGAAGGAGGAAAGAUUACUUUCAAUUUUGCACAUCCCAUUAUUUUUAAAGUGGUAAGAUGUUGGAGAUUAACUGAAUUCUUGGAAGCCACCCAAAUAUAAGUCAUUUGAGGUAGAUUUUCCAACACCAAAUCCUCUAACCUUAAACUCACUUGAUGCCCAAUCAUUUCAUGUCCAUUAAGACAAAAAAUACCUUCUACUUCACAAUUUCUUAUGGAUACAUUUUUCAAAGUGAGGAAAUGAUUAUGAAUCCCUUUUGGAUCCUGCAGGACAUCAAUAGAAAUGUAAAAAAUUCCAAACAAAAAAACAAAAAGGACCAAAUAACUAAUAAUUAUAAAAAUAAACACAAGACUACCUUCCUGCUUACGCUAAUAGGCUCUCUUGAAUCCGUAAGAACCGUCAAAGAACUCAUAGAAUCAUUAAAAGGAUAGGAACAUUUAUCACACUCAAACUCCUUCAAAGAUGGCCAAGUCACAGUGAGAGUGUUGGUAGCACAAAUGCUAACAAAAUUUGGUAAAUUAUAAAGAGAGAGUAUUUCCAAUGCUGACAAAUGAAUAUGAAUCUCCUCACAAUCCUGAUUAGCUAUGGGAUAUUGCCCAAACAUAUAGUUCAAUUGGCCACAAUCACGCACAGAGAGAAUUCUUAGGUGUGGAAAGAUAGCAUUCAAAUUCUCUUUGCCAUAUUCAUCCUCAAUGUCUAUAAUGUGCUCAAGUCCAUGACAUUGCUUAAUUCUCAAGAUUUCCAACAUCAAUGAUGAAGCAAUGGACGGUUUAAAAAGGUACUUUACCUUAUCAAAGCCUUUCAGUUCAAUCUCUAUUAUAUUUUGCAUAAUAAGAAAGGUCAAACCUUGUGGUUGUUUUGAAAGAUAUUCAACACUUUCAACUGGGGGAACAAAAUCUGAGUUCGAUAUCUGCAAUAUAUACACUAAAUUACUUUUUAAACCAAACUAAAUAAUUAUUGUUGCAAUUCAUUUCUAACAUAUUACUCGUAUAAAUUAAAAUUUUAAGAAAUACCACUAAUUGUUUAUUAAAUUAAUUGCAUUUUGUUUAGCCCAACGAGAAAAAAGAAUAAUUUCACAAAAGUAAUCUACUCCAACUAAUCUAUCCCAAUACUUUAAUAUUAAAACUUAUAGGUUGAAUUCAGGUCACCAAUAAGUUGUAGUUCUUAUAAGACAAUUAUUAAUUUUAGCUCAAACAUGAUCUUGCAAAAUUUUUGCUAAAUACAAAGCAAGUGAUGAAUAAUCAUACCUUGAUUGAAAUAUAAUCUUCGUGUCUAGCUUCCGAAGCAUUUGUUGAAGAAUUUAUCGUGAAAAACCCAACAUAUGUCCCAAUACCCAAUAAUAGUGUUCUCAAAGACGGACAUCUUACAGUAUAACUGUCUAGAAUGAUGCUACCCAGGUUACGAUCAAGUUGGAGUACUUCUAAAGCAGGAAGCUCAAUCUGAGUAUUAUUUUGUUGUUGCUGACAAAAAUUCUCUUUGAAAUUAUUUGGACUUGAAAAAUCUUUCAAAUCAGUUGUCUCUUUAUUUCUUAUAUCAUUCAAUUUCAUCGUGCCUCCAACAAAAGGGACAGGGAAUAUACGUUGCAAUAAGUCACAUUCACUGAUAUAUAAAUUUUUCAAACUCUGGAAGAUUGAAAUAUCACUCUGAAAGUCAUGGUCAUCCUCAACAACAUUUUCCUUCUGAUUUUGAUUGAUCCUUUCAUGAGUUAUUAUAUGCCUCAAACUAUUGCACUUUAUUAUGACCAAUUUUUCUAAAGAAGUCAAGGUCUUAGCUGUAGAUGCUGUAAAAAUUGAGCCUAACUUCGGACAAUCAUAUAUUCUAAGGCUUGUAAGGCUUGAUAGAGUUCCUAAAAAGCAAUUAUAUAUAAGAAAAAUAUCACUCAAGAUUUCAUAUAUACUUUGUGUGCAAGUUACAUUCUGAAUUUAAAAACAUUGGUUUCUUGAGACUAAAACCACAAUCCUAAACAUUAAAUGAUCGGUUAAUAAUGAUGAAAAGAAUCAUACAAAACAAUUUUCUUUAAAAUAUUCUAAAUUAUAAAAAAAAAAUUAAAAUGCAAAUAGAAAUGUCUUUAAUUUUGUCUGAGACAAAUUUCCCUGGCAGUGCAUUAACAAGUAAUUGGUUCAAAUAAAAGUAGAUUAUUAAUGUCGAGUUUGAACCUUACAAAUAGAAAAUAAUGAUCGUGAUGACACAAUGUACAACUAAUAUGCUUAAAUUUUUCAUAUACAAUAACAUAUUCACAAUUUUCACGUAACUUGUAAAUAACUUAACUUCAACUAAGCAACAACAGGUAGACUUACUAAUACACACUUAAACAUAUUUAGAAAUGCAAAAAGAAAAAUUUACCAGGGCUAUAGUUCACAACUGUUGUUGGUGGAGUUGAAGUUGAAGUGCUAUACAAAUGUGGAUGCUUACCUUCCUCAAUGAUUUCAUCAAGUUCUUCUUUUUUACCAUGGUCUGCUGAUGGAACAAUAUCUCCAAUUAUUUGAUCUAGCAUGUGGCAUUUAUUUAUCUCGAGCAGUUUCAAUUGAACUAAGCCUCUUACAAUGCUGGCAGAGAAUAUAAGUUUUAAUUCUCCACAACUAUUUACCUCUAGUUUCUGAAGAUUCUGGAAUAUUUGUAUAGGAUGCCCAGUGGUGAAUUCACCUUGACUUUUCUCUGUUUUGUCAUCUUCUGCUAAUAUAUGCUUCAAUCCAUCACAUCUUGAUAUUUUUAAUGUUUUCAAUUGUACCAAACGUUGAGCAACGACAUACGUGAAGAGAGAUGUCAAUCGUGGACAAUCAAUUAAAUAUAACUUCUCUAAGUUCUCAAAAGGCCCAUUGGCAGGUUGCAAACAAUGCCAUAAAGCUCUUAGAUUUUCCAUGUUAUGGAUUUUCAGCUUAUGCAACUUGGAGAAGAGAGUUAUCACCUCACUAUAAUGAUUACUAGUGUCAAUCAAACACUCUAUCUCUUUAGAAUUACGUAUCUCAAACAUAUUCAACUCAUCCAAACCUCCCCCUUCAAUUUGAAAUAUAUCAGGUAUGAUAUUUUUUGCCCCUCCCUGAAUAUUGGCUACAAAUAGAUCCUUUGCUUUUUUUGCUAAACUCUUAAUUACCUCAUUUGAAAUGUGAAAAUAGUUAAGUAAUAAUGAGUGGAAAGAAAUAAGUGAAAUAUAUUUCUGAGAUAUUUUACAAAUGUGAUUACAGUCUCUAUUUAUAGACUGUUUUACAACCUAAUUAAAGAAAGAAAUAAUAGGCAAUGAAAGCCAGAAAUAAUGAGUGUUUAAAGCUGUACAAAUCAAAUCAAAUCACUAACAAAUCUGUCCUAAUAAAUAUAAAAUAGAAUCUGCACUUAAUUAUAACAUAAUUCUCCUGAUUAUGCAACACUCCCCCUCAAGUUGGUGAAUGUAUAUCUAUCAUUCCCAACUUGCAAGUAAGAUCUUCGAAUUGUUUUGCGGGAAGUCCCUUAGUAAACAUAUCUGCCAAUUGGAGUCUUGAAGGGAUGUACUCAGUGGCUAUAAGACCAUCAUCCAACUUUUCUUUAAUAAAGUGUCGGUCUAUCUCUACGUGCUUUGUUCGAUCAUGUUGAACCGGAUUGUGUGCAAUACUGAUAGCGGACUUAUUAUCACAUGCCAAACUCAUAGGAGCUUCAUAUUUUAUUUUUAGGUCAUCAAGUAUGAUCUUCAUCCAUAAGAGUUCACACACCCCUUGAGCCAUGGCUCUAAAUUCUGCCUCUGCACUUGAUCUUGCAACUACAUUUUGCUUCUUGCUCCUCCAUGUCACCAGAUUUCCACCCAAGAACAUGCAGUAGCCUGUGGUGGAUCUCCUAUCAACAAUCGAUCCUGCAUAGUCAGCAUCAGUAUAUACUUUCAUGGAUAAGUUUUCCCCCUUUUUGAAUAGCAAUCCUUUUCCUGGAGAGGCUUUUAAGUACUGAAUAAUUUUAUCUACUGCUUGCAAGUGUCUUUCUCUUGGAUCAUGCAUAAAUUGACUAACCACACUAACUGCAUAGGCUAUAUCUGGCCUAGUGUGUGAAAGAUAAAUGAGUUUUCCCAGUGAAGGUUACUCGUGGACGGGGCGGUUAGUCUGCAUCCNNNNNNNNNNNNNNNNNNNNNNNNNNNNNNNNNNNNNNNNNNNNNNNNNNNNNNNNNNNNNNNNNNNNNNNNNNNNNNNNNNNNNNNNNNNNNNNNNNNNAAUGGGAAGGGAAAAAUACCACUGUACAAUUUAAAUCUUGGGUAAUCUUUUGAAUAGACAAGAGGUUAUUGGAUAGUUUGGGAACAUGAAGCACAUUUUUUAAAGGAAAUGAAGGUUGAAGGUGAAUGUUACCACGACCAUUAAUGGGGGUAGUGGAACCAUUAGCAAUAGUAAUAUAUGGCUUACCGGAUAAAGUAGUGUAGGAUGAAAAAGAAGAGGAAUGAGGUGUCAUAUGAUCAGUAGCACCAGAGUCUAUAAUCCAGAUAUUUUCAGUACUAGAAGCAUUAAAGGAUAAAAAACUAGAACUCUUACCACUCAUAGUAAAGGAACAAUAGCUAGAUGGCUUACUAAGGGAGUCCAUGAGAGUUCAAAACCAACUGAGUUUUUCAGAUUGGCAAAAUUUGAUCCUGUUCACACACACAGGAAAAAAAAAUCUGCCGGAAAAAUUUUCCGGUGGCGGUUUCAGGCGGCCAGCGGCGGUUUCCGGCGAGCAGUGGCAGUUCCGGCGAGCGGUGCAGUUUCCGGCGAGCGACGGCAGUGGUGGUCGUCAAUGGUGCAAGGUGGUGGUGGUGGUCAAUGGAGAAAGGAUAAGGAAAAUAGAAAGUUGCAGCAAUGAAGGCUGUCCAACAAAUAAUUGCAGCAAUGAAGGCUGUCAAGGAAAAUGAUUACAGCAAUGAAGGCUAAAAAAAAAUUUGCGGAAGCAGAGUCUCCUAGAUCAGGAGCUCUGAUACCAAGUGGAAAGAAAUAAGUGAAAUAUAUUUCUGAGAUAUUUUACAAAUGUGAUUACAGUCUCUAUUUAUAGACUGUUUUACAACCUAAUUAAAGAAAGAAAUAAUAGGCAAUGAAAGCCAGAAAUAAUGAGUGUUUAAAGCUGUACAAAUCAAAUCAAAUCACUAACAAAUCUGUCCUAAUAAAUAUAAAAUAGAAUCUGCACUUAAUUAUAACAUAAUUCUCCUGAUUAUGCAACAUAAUGUUUUGUGAUUAGAGCAAAAUUCUUCAUCAUUAUACUCAUCAAAAUAACGGGAUCCUAAUAUAAUUCCGUACCUUUGCAAUGUUUGGGGGACACUGAAGGUGUUAAAGAAUUCAAUAUUGUCUUCACUGUUAGCAUCCCAUUCUCCUUCAAUAUUAACAAUGUACAACUCUUCCAGUAGUGGAGUUCUUUUGAUCACUUCAAACUUCUUCCCUUUAAUGUCACAUUUGUUCAACUCUAACAAUUUUAAGGAUGUUACUUGUGAAAUUACAACAUCAGUUUGUAAUUCAGGAAAUGAAGGCAAUAAACAGCCAUGCAGCGAAAGACUUUGGAGUUUCUUCAUAUCGCCUACAAAAGUGAAGUUGCUCAACUCAUAACCGUAAAUGAGUAAAUAACGGAGAUUUUGUAAUGCUUGGAAAGACACUUUUGACAAUGGUGUUUUUCCAUCCUCAUCAUUCACAAGAAUCAAAACUUUGAGCAUUCCCAUUCUUUUGAAAAUUCCAUCAAAUUCUAACAAUUUUGUCUUUAAGAAUAAAAACUCAAGAUUGGAACAAUCCAAAUCAUUUGGAAAUUUCACACACCAUAGAUAUUUUACGAAAUUUUGUUCAAUAGUCACAUCUUUUUCCUCUUCGCACUUGAUGAUCUUAUUCUCAUUCUUUGCUAUCAAGUGGGCCACAUCGCGAACUAUGUCAUGCAUUUUGACACAUUCAUCCUCUUCAUCCAACAAUAAACAAGAACUAACGAGCUUAAUUUUGGCUGCAAUCACUUCACUCCUAGCCACCUCAUAUGAGUGUGCUUCUCCAACUACACCUAACCCUAUUGCGCAUCUUAUUAAAAGUUCAAUUGGAAUUUCAAAAUCUUCAGGGAACACAGAACACAACAGGAAAAGUGAUUUAGCUUCUUUAGUAUCCAAAUUAUCAUAGCUCAACUGCAAGCACUUGUAGGGAUCAGUCAAACCUCUUUCAAUAUUUAUUGGCUUAGAACUUCUCAACUUAUUCAAUGCAACACUCCAUAUCGUCUCGACUUUUCCCUUCAAACUACUAGCUACAGCUGCAAUUGCAACAGGCAAUCCUUUACAUUCAUUAGAAAUUAAUCUUGCCAGAUUCUUUAAGGUAUCAGGGGUGUCUUCAAAUAUAAGUGCUUUAUUUUGGAAAAGAGUCCACGCUUCUUCAUCCGUUAAAAUUGGCAGGUAAAUCUUCCUUUGACAAUCCAUCGAAGUACAAACUUCUUCUGAUCUAGUGGUAAUGAGAAUCUUACAGCCUUUAUGGUGUUCAGAGGAUGGAAUCCCAAUGCCCCCAAAGUCAAGCUUCUCCCACACAUCAUCUAGAAUCAUAAGAAUAUUUUUUUCUUGGGUUAAUCUCAAGCACAAUCGUUGGGCUCUCUCCAUUUCUUCGGUUUCUGGAAAUAUAUAUUGCAGUGAACUUGCAAUUUUUUCUUGGAUCCUUCGAACUUCCACUGUACUAGAAAUAGGCACAAAAAGAACUUUGUCAAAAAGAUGCUCUGCUUCUACUAACUUCCUAACCUCCAUUGCUAAGGUGGUUUUACCACAACCCCCCAUCCCAUACAGUCCAAUCAUGGCAACAUCAUUAUUUUUCACUGCUUCCAGUAGUUUCUCAUAUGCAAAUUGUCUACUCUCAAAAUUCAUGCAUUUUUCUGAAAGAAUAUUCAAGGUGCCUGAAGGAAGUGUAGCAAUGCGGUCAAAUGGCACAUAUUUUCUACCCUCUACAAUGAACUUUUCAAGGUCCACAGUUUUAUUUGCUAACUUUUUUCCUACACGGUGUCGCCAAAUCCAAUUUGGACAGUGCCCAAAGCAACAUAUUUUUUUUGUUUUUGCCUCUUUCAACAACUGACUCACAUUGUCUACGUUAAUGAUAGCAUCUUGCAGCCACUUGUCGACAACUUCACUAGUCUUUCUGGUUUGUCUCUCGGCAUGUGCAACAAAUGUUUGCACACUAUCUCUCGUUACAAUCAAAUCACCCUCUUCUUGCUCAAGCUUUUUGAUGAAAUUGUUAAAACAACAAGGAUAACGUAAUUGAUUUAAUGCUCCACACACUAAAUCUCUUGAAACAGAAGAUGCAAAACCCAAGAGACACUCCAUCAAUUUGUUCCACCAAAUUCAACUUUCUUUAACCUGAACAAGAGAAAAUGAACACACUCUAUAAGUUUUAUAAUUAUAUUUAGAUACAUUAGACAAAAACAUAUUUUAAGAUCAUUUAUUACAUAUUCUAGUAAGUCACUUUUAUAGUAAAAUUACAAAAAAAAAGGUUUAUAAGUCAUGUGUAGUAAGCAAAUUUAAUGUUUUAUAUCCUAAAUAAUUAAUUAUUGGAUACACAUUAAAAUAAACUCCAAUAACUUUAAUCAAUAGUUUUAAAAUAUUAAUUGUGAUAGAGUUUUUAAAUGUUUUUUUAUCACUUUGGUUAUUUUUCAAACAUAUUUUUUUGAAUAGCUUUAUUUAAAUUUUUUUUUACCCUUCCUCAAAAAGAAAAAUUAUCAUAUUCAAUGUACUUAAAUGACACAUAAAUAUGUAGAUCAAAAUAUUUGUUAAGUAGGAAAAGCAACCGAUGAGUACAAUAUGUAUUUAUCCAAAGGUUGAAUCAACUAGGGCUUAGGUCGUGAGCCUAUAUCAAGCUGAGUCGAUCCAAGUCCGUGUCGAGUCGAGUUGACUCAGGUCCAAGUCGAGCCUAGUUAGUUUGGGUCCAUGUUGAGGCUAGUUAGUCCAGACCCAUGUCGAGCCGAGUCAGUCUGAACCCAUGUCGAGCCGAGUCAGUCUGAACCCAUGUCGAGUCAAGUGGGCACGGGCUAGUGUCGAGUCGAAAUGACCCAUGUCCAUGUCGUUCCAAGUCGACCUGGGCCCAUGUUGAGCCUAGUCAUCCCGAGCCCAAAUCGACCCGAGUCGACUUGGGCCUAGGACGACCCUAGUUAGCACAUGCCCAGGUCGAGUCGACCUGAGCCCAUCUCGAGUCGAGCCCAGCUGGUCUAGGCCCAUGUCGAGCCGAGUGGAACAUGUUUAGAGGAGUGGGCUUGGGCCAAUGUCGAGUUGAGUGGGUACAGGUCCAUGUUGAGCUAAGUCAGUUUGGUAAUAGGUCGAGUCGGCUCGGGUCUAGGUUGAGUUGAGUUUGCCUAGACCCAAGUAGAGCCAAGUUUGCUUGGGCGUGGCCCGGACCUAUAUCGAGUCGAGUCAACUCGGGCUCAGGUCGAGUGUAGUUGGCCCGGGUCCAUGUUGAGCCAAGUUGACCAAGGCCAGGGAGUCGAGUUGACUCGGACCCAGAUCGAGCCAAGUCAGUUCGGGCACAGGUCGAGUCAGCCUGAGCCCAUAUCGAGCCGAGUCAAUCCAGGACCAUGUUUAGCCGAGUGGGCGUGGGUCCAUGUCGAGCCGCGUUGACCCUGGCCCAUGUUAAGCUAAGCGGGUUCAGGCCCAUGUCGAGCUAAGUCGACCUGGUACUAGGUCGAGUCAAUUCGGGUCCAGGUCGAGCUGAGCUGUUUUGAUACCAGAUCGAGCAUAGUUGGCCUGGAUCUAGGUCUAGCCGAGUCGGUCCAGGUUCAGAUCAAGUCGACCUUAACACAAGUCAAGCCAAGUCAGCUCGUGUCCAGAUCUAGAUGGAUUUAAUCUAAUUUACAAAGUGAAUUUAAUUAUUUUAAAUGAAUUUAGAAAAAUCCAAAUAAAUUUGAUCUAAUUAAAAUUGAUGUAAAAUCCAAUCUAUUUUGUUAGAAUUGAAUCUGGAUAAAAUUCAAUCCAUAACUACUCUACCCAAAAAUCACUUUAUAACCGUUCGUUAUACAACACUUGUUACUUAUAUUCAUUUAUUAUGAUGAAAUAUAUUAAUUCAUCAUCAGCAUUUCCCCCCAUUUGAUUAGUUAAGAUAGUUUAUCAUAUACCCUCUCUUAAUAUUUUUAUGAGACUAAAUUAAUUUUUUUAUAAGUUUUUGGUAUCUCUAUUGGAAACUUUGACUGAAGUGACAUUUUCAACAAUUAAACAUAUAUCAUCAAAUUGGCUAAAUUAGUAUGUUAAACUAACAAAAAGUAUAAAUUUGGUUUGACAGAAAAGCUUUAAAAAAUCGAAGUGAAACUUUUAAACUUUAGAACUAAACUAAAAUCUCGCUAAUGGAUCAAAACUUUAUUUUAGAAAAAAAAAUGAAUCAUGUUUAAUUAGAAGAGGCAUGUUACAUUUUAAUUAAAUAAAUUGUCAUAAAUAAUGAUGGUUAAAAGAGAAGUGAUAUGGGAACUUAGUUCUUCAUUAAAUUAUAUUAAUAUAUUACAUUUAUAUUAUAAAUAGUUUCAUAUAUUUUCUUUACUAAUAUGCCAAAUUAUGAGAAAAAAUUUAAAAUAUUCAUGUUCAUAUUUGAGAGAGAUGGACCAUGUCAUAAUUAUGUUGAAUUCCGAGCUAUUAUAUAAUAGGACGUUAAUUUGGUAGACGUUUGAAAAUCUCUCGACUUGAAUAGCCUUAGCUACUCAAUCAAGACAAAAUCAAGAAAAAUAAGGGAUUUUAUCAAUAUAUAUCGUAAGAGGCAUUAACAAGAAGGAUCAUCUUUUAAACACAUUAAUUAAAGGUGCACUCACUCUUAACUAUCAUUGAAUAUCCUGGGCUUAACGUGACCUAACCCUUUUGUCUAGAACAAUAUUUAAUUUCAAAUAAUUCAUCCUUAAAAAAUUGAUUAGAUCUAAAUAAACUUUUACAUUUUCACUCCUCUUACAAAGGACGUUAGCUCUCUUUAAAGUAAACUAUAAUGGUGCUCUUAGGUUUCUUCAAAUUAAACUAACAUAUGUGAUAAUUGAAUGUCAAAUAAAGAUCAUGUUUAUAGAAUUUUGUCAUAGACUAUAUAUGUGCUAUGAUUUUAUGUUUUUGGGAUGACCUUUAUAUUGCUAAAUUAAAAUGAUUCUCUCAAUUCGACUUGUGCUUGAAAUGGUAUUUAAUAGUUUUUCAGAAAAUAUAAUUGUUCAAUUUGAUCUCUCUGAUUGAAGAUAAAUAAUGUGAUUAGUAUGUUAAUCCUAAUUGAACAUUAUUACCAUAAAACUUGUAAGAGCCAAUAAAGAUCCAGUCAAAUCGAUUCAAAAUUAGUAAAAAAUUAUAAAAUAUCGUAGUUAAAUAUCGAUUCAAUUUUUUUACAUUUAGCUGAAACAUUUUUAAGAUAAAUGAUAUAUGUAAUAUUCUGCAGGGUAUAAUAAUGAUUACACUAGAUAAAUAAGCUAUUCUUCCUAUUUUGAUCUCACAGUUUUACAGAUCUCAGAGUAUUUUUAAUAGAAAUUUUCUUAAGAUCUCACCUAUACAAAUUAUUUCAUAAUAAUAAUUAUUUAUAAAUAAAAUAUUAUUUUAAUGGAGAUCUCACAGAUAUAAAUUAUGUAAAUGUAAAGAAAAUUAUUUAUAUUAAAAAGAGUUAGUUAAGAACAGUAGUUUCCAUAAUAAUAUUAUAAAUCAUAAACAUCACUACUUUAGUAUAGAAAACAGAAAACAGAUUAUAUUGUGUUUUCAUCCAUAAGAAGAAGCAGAUCUAGUAGUCUGAACCUGUUCAUCGUUCAUAUCUAACUAAUUUGAAAGAGGAAAAAUAUGAAAUAUUACCUUCUUUAACUAAUAUGUAGAGAGAGAUGAGAGAAAGAAGUGGUGAUCCAUGACUUCAACACAGGAGAAGCUGAAACGUUAAGUUACUGCAGAAACAUAAACACAAACACAUGAUCUACAACUUCAAUUGAAAAGGAAUCGAUUAGAAAUUGAAAACAAAGCAGAAGUUAACUUCACACUGAUUCAUACCUCCACAGAGAUGAAAGUACUCCAUUGCUUGAAUCGAUGAGAGAGUAAAAGAGACGCUGAAAGAUUACGUUACUGCACAAACACAAACACGUGAUCCACAACUUCAAUUGAAAAGGAAUCGAUUAGAAAUUGAAAACAAAACAGAAGUUAACUUCACACUGAUUCAUACCUCCACAGAGACGAAUGCACUCCAUUGCAAAAGAGUUAAGAAUGAACGCGCAGUUAUUCCAGCACAAGAGACGGUGAAACGUUAAGUUACUGCAUAAACACAAACACAAACACAUGAUCUACAGCUUCAAUCGAAAAGGAAUCGAUUAGAAAUUGAAAUCACAGUGAUUCGUACCUUCACAGAGAUGAAAGGAAUCCAUGGCUUGAACGAAGGACAGAGUAUAACAGAGAACCCUCACACUGAGUGCAAUACCGCAAGAGAUAAGAGUGAAAGCAGAGAUGCGAAGAGUGGGGACAGUGACUAUUGGUCUUCUUCCCAGUGAUAUUAUUGCUCUUCCUCUUUUCUAUCAAUUAUUAUUAUAAUAAUAAUAAUUGAGGAUGCAUUGACUUGCACUUUUAUAUCUUUUAAAAGUCUUUGUCUUCUUUUAUAUAAUAAUAAUAAUAAUUCUUAUUUUUUAUUAUUGCUGUGUGCAGUUUUUUUUUUAAUCUGCCGUACAUAUUUUGACAUAACAAUAAUUUAUUUAAUUUAUUAAACAAUACACAACGAACAGAAAAAAAGAAAACUUAUUUGACCUCCGAGUUGUACCAGCCUAAUUAAAGUUAAAAUGAUUAUUGUAAUUUUUUAAAUAAAUUUUACUUUUAUUUAGUAUGAAUGUUUCAACCCGAUUUAAGUUCAUCCUAAAAUUUAAUGCAAAAGCGAAAAGUGGAAAAUGUCCUUUUAAAUUUUUUAUAUUUUCUUAAAACAUAUUAUUUAAAACGUAUUUUAAAAAAGUAAACUAUUGCUUUCGAAGAAAAUUGAAUUUUUAUUCAAUUUCAUAAAAGAAUAAAUAAAAAUAGAAAUGGAUGGUUCCUUUUAGAUUGACAGAGAGGAGUAAACUGACUGGGAAAUUAGAACCAAAUGAAAUAUAUAGUAAAACACGCAUAAAAAUAAAAAUAAGGUAUUACAAAAUGAUGUAGCAAAUUUUGUUGGGUUUAUUAUUGUAGAGCAUAAAGAUACUUUUGGUUGCAUAUGGCUAAGAUAGUGGAAUGUGGAAUAUAAGUGAUUGCAGCAUUAGAAGAAAGAGGAAUGCGAAAUGGGCUAAUGUAGCACUCAAUGUAACUCCUUUUCCUUUUCUCUCAAACAUAAUUUAUCCCUUAAAUGCUUUGUAGUCACACACUAAUAGGACUCAAUAUUAUUAUGCAUGAUGGAAUCAUAUCCACAAAAACAUGGUGAAGUGAUUAAGGCAUACAUAAAAUAAAUAUAAGCUACACUCAUCAUUGAAGGAAGGAACAUAAGAAAUGGUUUUUGUAAUUUUGUCUCACCAAGAGCAAUCUCUUACACAACAAUAAAUAACAUAGCAAACAUACAACAAAAUAGAACAAAAUAGAACAAGCAAAAGACUGAACAAUAUUGUGUAGUUGCAAAUCUUCCUUUUAAGUGAUGAACAAUUUGGUCCUUAAUAACAGUGAUCAAUGAAAACCCUCAUGAGGAAUUUCUAGCAACCAUGCGAUUGUAUUCAUACUGACUACACAUAACUGACCAUUUAUAAGUCACCUCAAAUAAUUUUUGUUGAACUUUUCUUUCAUCUUCCACCAUUUGAGACUGGUCUUUCCUCACAUUUUCAAGCUCCAUUUUGUACCCAAUAGUUUCUGCAAUCCUUUUAUUUUUUUCCUCUUCCAGAGAGGAUAAGGCAUCCUCACAAACUUUUAUUUCUUCCUUCAGCCUAAUGAUUUGUUCCUUUAAAACUACUUCCUUCAGUUGAGCUUCAUCAUAGAAAUUCUUUGCCUCGAAAAUUUUGGAACCAAGAGUAGUGGCCACCUCAUUCCCACGAGCUUCAAGUUCUGCCAACUUAUCAGUGGUAGCAAAGCCUUGCUUAAAGGAGCAUACAAUGCUUGGGAACUCUUGCUGCAUAGUGCCUAUAAUAUCUUUGAGUCCAUCUGAUAGAGAUACAUCUUUGAAAGGAAGGUUAGACAGGAAAUUAAGAGCAGACAAAAGGUUAAUACUGUUAGUCUCAGAGCUAACUAUGUCCUUCAAAGACAUCUUUAGAUACUUUUCCAACUCAACAAAGAUCUUUCCAACUAUGUUGUCUUCACUCUCUUUCCCCACAACAACUGGUGCAAACAAACUCAUGAUAUCAUUGGCCCCAGAGUCUUGAAUAAUUUUAGGAUGACCUCCACUUUCUUUAACAGUGUGUGUCUCAGUUCGACUGCUCCUAAUUUCACUCUUGGAGGAAUAAGAAGAAAAUAUAAUAGUAAAGACGUUAGCAUCAAGCCAUAACAGUUGCAAAUCAUUGAGUUCCUUAAACCAUUUUUUAUCCAAGCAUAUUUGUUAGAGUGAUGAUAACAAAUUCAUUAAAUUUAAAUUCCAACUUAAAAUUCCAUACUUUUGUUUUUAAUUCCACUCCCGCGGCAAAUGAUAAAUCAAAAUGAAAACAUCAUUUUUAUGCUGACAAAAUAUGUUGGAAAUGUGAAUUGCAUAAAAUAAACUUACAUGUGUAUGUGAUUUAGUUUGGGAAGUAAAUAUUUGGUCAAACUGUGAGCUAGUGGAUUCAGAAUGAAUCGAUGAAGUUGUGAUACUGGUGUUCUUUUCUAUGGUUUUCUCUACAGCUUCUCGCUCAAUACUCUGCAUAAGAAAAGAAAGAUAUUUACUAGCAGGGUUGUUAUUAAUGGCAUGUGCACAUGCAUGUUAAUUUAAAAUAUUUGAUGUUAUUUUUGUUUGCCAUUUACCUGAGGAAUUUUGGAGCUACUUACAAUUUUUCCAAGUGACUUUUGUCGGUUCAUCAAGCACGGUUCACUAAUCCGCUGUUUGUCCACCAAUGCCUAAACAAAGUAAUGAACUAGUGUAAAAUCACUAUACUCUUAGCACUUCAAUUUUAUCCAGUAGGAAAAAUAUUUAGGCUCACAUUUGAGAGUGUUUCACGUAGAGGAAUAUUCAAAUAAGAUGGAGUUGGCCUUUCAGAUGGUUGUGAGUUUGUUAAUGAUGUUGUUGUUCUUGGUAUUUCUGGAGUGGAAACUUCAGCAACAAAUUCCUUCUCUGGUUCUUCAUUUCUCGCAGCAAUGCGAUCAAUAGAAACAACACCUAUUUCACCUUCUUUAUCAACCAAGUUAGAACUUUCUUCGAAGCUAUUGUUAACAUUCUGGGUCUUCACACAUCUAGAACUUCUUUUACAGUUUUCAUUAGACUCAUCACCUUGUUUAACAACCUGGGAAUCUAAUACCAUAUCCACACUAUUAAACCUGUGUAAAAAACUUAAAUUUUUCACUUUAUGAAUCCCAAGAAAACAUAGAAAUUGAUAGUAUGAAUCUUGGAAGAAUUACAAAUACCACUAGAAUGUAUAUUUAAAUAGAAAGAGAAAAUUCAACUUCAAAUUCACAAAAGAAGGAUACAUUUUAUCUGGACAUUAACAAAGUCAUUUAAGACUCUUAAUUUCAUUCAUUCUUUACAUUACAUAGUAAGAAGUUAAAUGAUCAUACCUCUUAGGAUUCUCAUCCAUUUGUCUCUCCGCAAUGUCCUCUCUCAGCUUAGGAUCCCUCGUCAAAACAUGUUGACGCAUUUCAUCUAUCAAUGAACUCUCAAAUCCAAUCUCAACAGCUUCUUCACAUAGUUUAUGAAACUCUUUUUCUCUUUGAGGAGUAACAUUAUCAACACUUUCCUUCUGAAGGAACAACAAUAUAUCUGCCAAAAUUUUCAACCUCCAAGCUUGAAAGCGAUCACUAAAUUUCUCGCAAGCAUUCCAAAGAUGAGGAUAUGUUGUUAUCGCCUCCACCAAAAGAGCAAUUUGUGCAUCAUCUAGAUCAACAAAAUGUUUAUACAUUCCCAAUCUUGUACGAAUAUCUGCAGAAGCUAUAAAAAGUUUGAGAGAGUGAUAUGAAAAUAUAGAAUUGAAACAAGAAAAUAAGAAAUAAAAAACCUGGAGAAAUGUCAAUAUUGUUGUUAGAAACAAUAUGUAUCUCCUCUUGUUUGUCCAAUAGGUUCAACCCUUCUUCUACUUGGAUUUCUUGGCUUGGCAUGAUUCCUGCCUUGCCAUCAUUCAUCUUAUCAUCUUGUUCAAGUAUGUCCACGUCACCAGACUGAAUGUGAAUUGCAACACCACUUCCAAUGCUAAUGUCUUCAACAUCAGUUGACAAAGAUUUUGUCUUAUCACCCUCUGCUGUAGACCCCUCUUCAAUGUUCUCAUUUCCUACUUCCCCAAUCUCCUGUAUAUCACAAAGAAAAAAUAAGAUGGAGUGAGAGACUCUAAAAGUUUGAAAACCACUAUUUUUAAUAUACAUCAUGUGGUGGUAUGAUAGUAGUUUAAACGAUUGUGACUAUACUUCCUUCUUCUUCAAGUUAAAUUGUAUUUACAUUCAUAUAGAUUGGUUGGUUCUUACAUGUAAUGAAGUGAACUCACUGCUAGCAGAAUCUUCAUCUAAAUUGCUCAUCAUCACUUCUAUCUCCCAUCUAUAAACCCUAGUGUUUCUCAAAUCUGUAACAAAAAAAUAUAUAUUAGAGAAUUCACGUGACAGUGAAACACAUAAAAAAAAAUAUGAAAUACAACCUUAACUUUCCAUGAUGGACCAUUAUAUCACUACAAUUAAAAGUAAAAAUUGAUUUAAAAAGUUAAUUUGUAAAUAUAUUUUUUUAGGUGAAAUUGAGGGAUUUCAAAUGUGAUCAUAUUCUAUGAACGAUUAACAGGUUUAAUUGUGGACUGUGCGGAUUCAAAAUAUUUAGCAGCAAAAUCACCUAAACUUUAAAGAGUUUACCAAAUAUAAAAAAUAAUAUUAAAAAUAUAAUGAUAUCAACAUGCAUAACAUAAUACUCUUAAUCCAAUAAUUUAAUAUUUCGACAACAUGACAAAUUAAAUUAAAUAGAUGAAACUCAUAUAAAUUGAUUCAAACAAAAGUUCUUAAUGUGAAACUAACCCCUCAAAUAAUUGUAGUCCAAAAAAAUUGUCAGUGUUGGAUAAAAAUUACAUUUAAUUUCACACUCGUAAACUUCCUUUUUUACUUGAGAGUUUACUUGAGAGUUUAUACGAGUUAACACCAACAUUUGCUCAUAAAAGAGUUUGAUGGUAAGUUACCUCGUUUUUUCUCUAGUCGUAAGAGCUUAAGAUUAAUUCAAGAGUUUCACAACUUUCCAAUAACAGUUUAUAUUGAAGACUAUAUAUAGUAUUUACCUUUAUAAGGAAAAUUUUCCUUGAGCUCCCCAAGAGUAGUUGUUGGAGUUAAAGAGAGUUUUGGACAUUCAUAGACAACACAAUUCUUUAUAUUCGGCAAUUCAGUCUCUUGACAAAAGUUUGAAAGAUGCAUAAAUAUUAAAAGUUUCAGUCUUGGAAGCUCAACUUUACUCUUUCUUAUCUCUUCACUUUUUCCUUGUCCACAUCCAACAAGCUCUUCUAGUUCAGAAGCUCCAUUUAUGAUCAAAAGAAGAAGAUUGGGAAAGUCAUUAGAUGCAGAUCCAGAGAUAAAUCUUUUGAGCUUGUGGCAAUGUCCAACAUGCAAUGCUUUUAGUUUUGGGAAGCAUGGCCGAGGAGAAAGAAGAUUAGAAUUUGUUUUAUCCUCCAUAUCAUCUUCAAUGAUUUGUUUUAAUUCUUUGCAUUUUCUUAUUUUCAGAAGAUUCAAUUGUGGUAGGCAUCUGAAAACAUGCUUAGGAAAGAUUACUUCCAAUUUUUCACAUCCAACUAUUUCUAAUGUGGUAAGAUGUUGGAGAUUAAAUGAAUUCUUGGAAGUCACCCAAAUAUAAGUCAUUUGAGGUAGAUUUUCCAACAACAAAUCCUUUAACCUUAAAUUCACUUGUUGCUCAAUCAUUCCUUGUCCAUUAAGAAAAAAAAUACCUUUUACUUCAGAAUUCCUUAUGGUUACAUAUUGCAAAGUGAAGAAAUGGUUCUGAAUUCC
Molecule: long non-coding RNA, 16938 nt
Filed under: Phaseolus vulgaris (common bean)
Lineage: Eukaryota; Viridiplantae; Streptophyta; Magnoliopsida; Fabales; Fabaceae
Description: long non-coding RNA (PVUL_LNC003729)
Source: RNAcentral